AAAAGUUGAAUGUCGGCAGCAAACUGUGAUAACUCUGUAGGCAUUACUUCGUUAAAGCGAAAUUACCAAACACAAAUGAAAGCCCUUCUACGAGUUCUAAGCCUGGUCGUCAUUAGCGUCGUCGUGAUUAUUGUCACGCCGUGCGGGGCUACGCUCGGAGGAAGAAAGGCUUAAAAAUCAAGCCUGAUUUCGAAAGAACCCCCGCACCGAAAGGUCCGGGGGUUUUUUUUCGGCAAGGUAUUAAUGACAGAGGAUUAGGAAAUGAACAGUAGAAUAAAAUGCUGCAUUUCCCAGCCAGAG
This is a regulatory RNA element of Erwinia mallotivora, 300 nucleotides long. It matches the Rfam family "Soft rot Enterobacteriaceae Rev 39 5'UTR". Rfam says of the family: From bacteria cultured under starvation conditions. NCBI's taxonomy places the organism in Bacteria, Pseudomonadati, Pseudomonadota, Gammaproteobacteria, Enterobacterales, Erwiniaceae. The record is from Rfam.